CAGGAUUUGAUACCUGGCUCUCAGGAUGAACGCUAGCGGCGUGCCUUAAUGCAUGCAAGUCGAACGGGACCCUUUGGACUCGUCUGAAGGUGAGAGUGGCGAACGGGUGAGUAACACGUUGGUGACCUACCCCAGAGAGGGGGAUAACCAUUGGAAACGAUGGCUAAUACCCCAGAUGUCAUUACUGUUAGAGGGUAAUGACUAAAGCUCCGGCGCUCUGGGAGGGGCCUGCGGCCCAUCAGCUAGUUGGUAGGGUAAUGGCCUACAGUAGGCAGAGACGGGUAGGGGCGUGAGAGCGUGACCCCCCACACUGGUACUGACACACGGACCAGAUACCUACGGGUAGCAGCAGCAAGGAAUAUUGCCCAAUGGACGCAAGUCUGAGUAUAGCAACGCCGCGUGGAGGAUGAAGGCCUUCGGGUUGUAAACUCCUUUUCUGGGGGAAGAGAAACGGACGGUACCCCAGGCAAUAAGUCUCGGCUAACUACGUGCCAAGCAGCCCGCCGGUAAAAACGUAGGAGGCAACGCGUUAUCCGGAUUUACUGGGGCGUAAAGCGCUUUGCAAGGCUGUUUCCUUAAAGUCGGACGUGAAAGCUCCUGGCUCAACUAGGAGAAGCACGCUUCGAAACUAGGGAACUNUGAGGAUGGAUAGAGGAGACGUGGAAUUCCCGGUGUAGUGGUGAAAUGCGUAGAUAUCGGGAGGAACACCAGUGGCGAAGGCGGCUCUCUGGGCCAUUCCUGACGCUAAGAUCGCGAAAGCUAGGGGACGAUAUCGGAUUAGAAACCCCGGUAUUCCUACGCCGUAAAUUAUGUCAACUAGGUCGUAAAGGGUAUGCCAACCCCUCUGUGCUGUAGCUAACGCGUUAAGUUGACCGCCUGGGGACUACGGCCGCAAGGCUAAAACUCAAAGGAAUUGACGGGGACCCGCACAAGCAGCGGAGCGUGUGGUUCAGUUUCGAGGCUACGCGAAGAACCACAGUUAGGGUUUGACAUGUCGGUGGUAGGAAAGUGAAAGCUGACCGGCCCUUCGGGGAGCACGACACAGGUGCUGCAUGGCUGUCGUCAGCUCGUGCCGUGAGGUGUUAGGUUAAGUCCUAAAACGAGCGCAACCCUCGUCGCUAGUUAUACGUGUCUAGCCAGACUGCCGGUGAUAAGCUUAGGAAGUAUGGGAUCGACGUCAAGUCAGCAUGGCCUUUAUAUCCUGGGCUACACACACGCUACAAUGGCCGGUACAAUGGGUUGCCAAGCCGCGAGGCGGAGCCAAUCCCCCAAAGCCGGUCCCAGUUCGGAUUGCAGGCCGCAACUCGCCUACCGAAGUCGGAGUUGCUAGUAAUCGCGAAUCAGCAACGUCGCGGUGAAUACGUUCUUGGCCUUGUACACACCGAACGUCACACCAUGGGAGUGGGUUGCACCAGAAGUAGUUAGCUUAACCUUCGGGAGAGCGAUUUCCACACAGUGCUUGAUUCAUAUUGG
RNAcentral lists this ribosomal RNA (1473 nucleotides) under uncultured bacterium. Its description in RNAcentral is "bacterial SSU rRNA". It matches the Rfam family "Bacterial small subunit ribosomal RNA". The record is from RNAcentral.